AAUUAAUCUCAUUAAAGAUCAUAAAAUAUUUCAGAAAAUUUUAUGGUUUUCUAUCAAAGGCUGUUAAAAUUAAAUUUCAUCAUAGUCUUUUCAUUUUUGACAAUAGACCAAUGACAUAGCAGACACACACAAGAAUUUAUCUCAUCUCCUUAAAUAUCCAACAUCUAUUAGAUAACAGUAUUGGUAUGAAUUGGGAAUAUUCUGUAUAACAAUAUUCUUCUUUGUUAAACAUCAAUUCUAUAUGUACACUUUCUACUAAUAUUAUGCAAAGUUUGCCAUUGAUGCACAGGGCUGGCGCAAGACAGGUUCAGUGCAUUUGCAGAACCCCGCCUCGCGUUUUGAGAGCCCCGCAGUUUACGAAAAUUACCCAAUUAAAAAAUACUGAUUUUGAUUAACUUUUUACAGAAUGAUGAUACUAUUAACAGAUGCAUGAUGAUUCUGUCAAUAGAAAGUGAAGUAGCAAAUUCAAUCGAUUUUAGUGAUGAUAUCAAAGAUUUGGCGUCAAAAAAAGCGAGAAAAAUUAUUUAAUAUUAUUAUUGGAUUGUAUUAUUAUUUAAUAUUCAUCUUAUAAAAAAUAUAUAAUAUGUAACAGCAUUUGUAAAUAAAUAAUUCCUCGUUGUAAAAUUUAAGUGUAGGAUU
RNAcentral lists this long non-coding RNA (639 nucleotides) under Androctonus crassicauda. Lineage: Eukaryota; Metazoa; Arthropoda; Arachnida; Scorpiones; Buthidae. The record is from RNAcentral.